Molecule: long non-coding RNA, 2072 nt
Organism: Pezoporus flaviventris
Lineage: Eukaryota; Metazoa; Chordata; Aves; Psittaciformes; Psittacidae
Exons: 2
Source: RefSeq, a predicted model, not a curated record
GGCAGCACAACCUUUGUGCUGUAGUGACAAGGAGCUCGGUUCAGAUGCUGCCUUUCAGGGUUGCAUUUCAGUAGCAGCAGCAGCAGCAAACUGAUCUUUAAUGGUUAGGGGAGGAAUGGUAUCCAGAGCAGAAAACUGCUGCAGGAUCGCAGGGUUAUUUAAAGGCCUGCAAGAUGGGUUUGCAUUUAUUAGUCAUUUCAAGAAUAAUGGUGGUUCUGUGCUGAAAGCUGCAUCCUCGUUCUCAGCUGUUGUCUGUGCUUGUUUGGGGAGGAUCAGUGUAUCAGAGAGGUUUGGCUGUGCAGAGACACAACCAGUCUCUUAACCAAACAAGGGCUUGUGAGGCUCUGAGGGUCUGACAGGGACAAUGUCAAGUACUGUCAGAUCCCAGUGGGUGCCCCGUGAGUCACAGGUCCUGCAGGAGACAGUCUGUGCAGUUGUAUGAUCAAAAACUCCACGGGGAAGUGUACGUGCAUGAAAGGCAAGUUCAAGUCUGCCUUUCUGGUGCCUUAACUUCUCAGCGCUCUGCUUUUCAAUCGUAGCACUCUUUUAAUGCAAGGAAUGAUGGAGGCAAAGCUAACAGCCCCAGAACUUCUGAAGGGGUGUUUUUUAAAGGAAAAAGAGAGGAAAAAGAUCCCUUGAAACCUCUGGUAUGUGGUAUCAGACUGUUGGCAAGGUUGAGAAUGUCUAAGCCAUGGCACAGACUUCGGCCACUUGAGCUCAUGGAGCGACAAAGAGCUGUGUUGUCUCUGCCCUAGGUGGACCAGAUGGACAGAGGGUGAAGCCAAGUGUCCCACCGGGGUUUGGCUGGUCUGCCAGCAGCAGAGGGGUGUUAACAGUCCAUAAACGGGUCUCUGCCCAGAUCUGGAAGGGACUGGGGAGUAACAGCAUCUACAUUUGUGAGUGAGUGAUCCCAUUUCUUGGCUGGAAAAAGGCACUGAAGAACACUUUGCGUUGGGAAGCGCCACACAGAAGGACGAGCUUUCUGGUCCACGUAACCUCAUGGAAGUAUUAGGCAUGAACAGUCUGUUUGCUCAACCAAAUAACUUGAGCGGCAAACUUGCACAAGGAUUAUGGGAUUGGAGAUGUCCCACAGCACAGCAGGGUUCGUAUUUAUCCAACCCACUUCAACAGGCCACAUUCCCAGGUUUUGGGGAGCAAAUUAAGCUGCCUUUAAAACAGGCUUCCCUCCUCUUGGUGCUACCCCACCAUAGAGCCCUGGGUCACUCCUGUACUGACCACAGGGAUGAGGCACUGGACUGAGGACCAGUUUGGCCCAGCCUGCCGUAAGUGCUGGCAAUGCACAAUGUGAUGCUGGGUAAUGCAUUAUGUGAUGCUGCUUCCCUCCCUCAGGGACACCUCUCCUCCUUGUCUACCAGCAAUAGCAAUCCCAUGGCUGUUUCAACAGGACUGAUGGAAAACCAUACUUCUUUCUUUAUUUCCAUGGGUUGCUUUCCCUUCAAAUGAGCUAUCUGGACUGAUGCAGCCCCAUGGCUCCCUGGCUACAGAGGAACUGGGGAAGAAAAGCAGGGGAGCAAGAGAAAAGCAAAGCAGAGGAGGGAGAGAAAAGCAGGAGCACUGUUUUUGAGGCUGCAACACUAAAUUAGGAGAAACAACAAGCUGCACCUUGAGCCUCGGAAAAUCCAGCUGCGAUGCUGAGCUUUGCCUCUGGCUCAGCACUAAGACAGGGCUACCAAUAAAUCCCUUCUCCCACCUUCUGCAUGUCCUGAUUAGAUAGACUGUGACAGACGGGGGCUGUCACUUAUUAUGUGCUUGUUCAGUGCCUGGUACAAUGCAGCUCUGAUCUCAGCUCACACCCGUGCCUGCUGCAUGAACAAUAGCACUGAAAUGAGUCUAAUGGCUGGCCGUGGGGAGGUCACCAGCUGCCUGAUGUCUGCCCCCCCACCAGGAGCCACUGCAUCCCAACUGGAAAAGGAGGAAUUUCCAGGCUCCAUCCCUGCCACACUUGGGAAUUACCCCUCAUUAGCUCAGCAGCUAGUUCAGGAGUCCACAUGGUUAUUUCCUUGGUGGAAGUGUAACUAAUAAGUGAAAUUAAUGUGUUGAUGUUAAUUUAA